RNAcentral lists this ribosomal RNA (717 nucleotides) under Salinivibrio sp. KP-1. RNAcentral describes it as "bacterial LSU rRNA". It matches the Rfam family "Bacterial large subunit ribosomal RNA", at positions 1 to 764 of the family's 2925-position model. Lineage: Bacteria; Pseudomonadati; Pseudomonadota; Gammaproteobacteria; Vibrionales; Vibrionaceae. The record is from RNAcentral.
GUUGUAUGGUUAAGUGAUUAAGCGUAGACGGUGGAUGCCUUGGCAGUCAGAGGCGAUGAAGGACGUACUAACCUGCGAAAAGCGAUGGUGAGCUGGUAAGAAGCAUUUGAGCCAUCGAUGUCCGAAUGGGGAAACCCACCUGCAUAAGCAGGUAUCUUAGCGUGAAUACAUAGCGUUAAGAGGCGAACUCGGGGAACUGAAACAUCUAAGUACCCGAAGGAAAAGAAAUCAAUUGAGAUUCCGGCAGUAGCGGCGAGCGACCCCGGAGCAGCCCUUAAGCGGCUUAGGCGUUAGGUGAACAGGUUGGAAAACCUGGCAAUAAAGGGUGAUAGCCCCGUAACCGACGGCGCCUUAGACGUGAAAACGAGUAGGACGGGACACGUGAUAUCUUGUCUGAACAUGGGGGGACCAUCCUCCAAGGCUAAAUACUCCUGACUGACCGAUAGUGAACCAGUACCGUGAGGGAAAGGCGAAAAGAACCCCUGUGAGGGGAGUGAAAUAGAACCUGAAACCGUCUACGUACAAGCAGUGGGAGCCUCCUUUGUGGGGUGACCGCGUACCUUUUGUAUAAUGGGUCAGCGACUUAAUGUUAGUAGCAAGGUUAACCGCAUAGGGGAGCCGUAGGGAAACCGAGUCUUAACUGGGCGAGUAGUUGCUAGCAUUAGACCCGAAACCGAGUGAUCUAGCCAUGGGCAGGUUGAAGGUUGAGUAACAUCA